AGUUCACCGUCCGCUUUCGGGAAGCCAACACACGCUCUUCUCUCGAGCUCUCUUUCUCCAGUCGUAUGCGUAGCUUGCGCAACGUUCCGUAUAGUUGAUCUAAAUUCCGUUGAGUUUUUUUUUCCUUUCAAGUUCGGACAGUUGAUCAUAUUCGAUGCUCAGACGUACGUAGUAUUUUUGGAAAUCCGGUGGUGCAGUUUUUCGUAUUUCGUAAAAUUGCCACGCGUAAGCCAAUUUUCAAAAGCGAAAAACUCCAACCACUCCGCGAUCCGCUGAAAAAUGCAGCGAGCCAUGUAACGAGGAAAAAAUAGUAGAGGAAAAUUAAAAUAUAACGCGUCGCGCACAUAAACCAGGCUCGGGAGCACCUGCUCGUCGACUGUUGCAUGCAUGCGGGUGAUGGCCCGUGCGCACGUGUGUCGGCGCGAGAGCUGAAAUUUUUUCGUCGCGUUGCCGCGGGAGGGGGGCGUGUUCUCUCUCUCGCUCUCUCUCGCUCACUCGCUCUCGGUCGACCGCUAGCUCGACGUCGUCCGCCACUUCCUCUCCGACGCGCUCGGGAUCCAGCCGCGUCGGACUACGGGAUGCUGCGGAGCUCUGUACUACUGCUACUACUACUGCGAGUAUCUGGCUGACUAUAUAUGCCCUUCAGCACCAGAGCUUGCAGUAAAACCUCAUCCGCAACCCAGAAGCUUUCCUCAUAACUAACAUGUGUCCAUGUGGCGAUGAUGGUGGUGGUGUGUGCCGAUGAAGAUUCCCGAGAGUAAAGAGGACGAUCUGCUGUACAGACUGCACAGGUUUAUAUAUGGAGAGGGAUAUGCUUGCAAUGGGAUCAGUCCAAUCGAGGCGGCUAAUCAGUGUCCGUAUGGAAACGGAGCUCCAGGAAGCGAUUCAACUAAUGAGAAGAGCUUUCAGUUUUUUGCAAGUAAAGAAAGGAGUAAACAGGUGCCGUUUGAAGACGAAGAAAGCUGGAAAAAUACAUCGGAGACCAGGUUGGCGACGCGUAUUCUUGGGGAAUUAACACACAUACGCGCUGUUAUUGCUUGAGAAUACACGUAGUUUGCCUGGUCGAUCUCUGCAAUGAAAAUUACCUCGCUCGUCAACAACGUGUAUGAUUCUAUGUAAAAGUGUAUGUGCGACGAUUCAAUUUUGUAACAAGCGUACUGCGAAGCAAAUUGUAAAAUGAAAGAAUGAUACUACGAAAUUUACUGUAAUUCGAGACGCAUGCUUGCUUUAUAAAAUAACGAGAGAACGAUAUGUUUGAUCUAAAACAACAAUUUCCACUGUAUAACAGUAAUAAUAUUGUUCGAAAGCAAAAGUAAGAUGAAAAAUGAAAAAAUCCUCAAUCACAA
Long non-coding RNA from Nasonia vitripennis (jewel wasp), 1346 nucleotides. RefSeq lists it as uncharacterized. Lineage: Eukaryota; Metazoa; Arthropoda; Insecta; Hymenoptera; Pteromalidae. The transcript has 6 exons. The record is from RefSeq and is a predicted model, not a curated record.